Cicer arietinum (chickpea) is the source of this 565-nucleotide long non-coding RNA. RefSeq lists it as uncharacterized. The record is from RefSeq and is a predicted model, not a curated record. NCBI's taxonomy places the organism in Eukaryota, Viridiplantae, Streptophyta, Magnoliopsida, Fabales, Fabaceae.
AGAAGCAGAUUUCAACUUUUUUCAAUACUUUCAGCCUUUUUUAAAGAAAACAAAUAAGAACACGUUUUCUUUCAGCCUUUUUCAAGAAAACAGAUCAGAACACGCUUUCUUUUGGCCUUUUUUCAAGAAAACAAAACACACUUUCAACAAACAGAACACGUUGUUUCAUGGAAAAAGAGAAAAAUAGGUGUGACAAAUAGAAAUAAAAUGAAGCUUAAAUAAAACAAAGGUGAGAAUGAGGAGCAAAAUGGAUAUAGGCGGUGGUGGACUUUGGCGAUGCCGGAGAUGGACGUAUUGCAAACCUUAAGCAUCCUAUCAGAUAAUUAGGGAAAAAGUAGCUCACCUUUUUUAUUGAUUGCAUUAGGAGUGAAGAUUAUAGCUUUAUCAGUAAUAAAGAAUGAGAUAACAAAUGAGGCUGAAAAGAAAGGGAUAGGGUGCUGAUGGAAGAAUGCAAUUUUUUUUUUAUUUCAUAUUUUUUUGGGUGUAAUGAAAUGAAAACACCUAUGUAAAUAUGGAUUCAAAAUUGAGUCAACUUUUUUAAAUGAUGAUUUUUUAAAUUUUACAA